AUCCAUCUGUAGCUCCAAAGCAUGACGAUUUGGUGUUCACGCUCACGUGUGAGACGUGUCUUGCCCCUCACACUGCGUUUCGUUGGCACAUCACCCAUCUGACG
Lemur catta (Ring-tailed lemur) is the source of this 104-nucleotide small nucleolar RNA. RefSeq annotates it as small nucleolar RNA U13. The record is from RefSeq and is a predicted model, not a curated record. The transcript has a single exon. NCBI's taxonomy places the organism in Eukaryota, Metazoa, Chordata, Mammalia, Primates, Lemuridae.